AGUGCGCAAAUGAGGAAAUUCUAUUGGUAAAUGGUAAUGUGCGUCUAAAUACUUCGUUGAUGUUAACACCAUGGAGAUCUGGUGCCCAGA
This is a small nucleolar RNA of Papaver somniferum (opium poppy), 90 nucleotides long. The record is from RefSeq and is a predicted model, not a curated record. Lineage: Eukaryota; Viridiplantae; Streptophyta; Magnoliopsida; Ranunculales; Papaveraceae.